Molecule: long non-coding RNA, 9121 nt
Filed under: Amborella trichopoda
Lineage: Eukaryota; Viridiplantae; Streptophyta; Magnoliopsida; Amborellales; Amborellaceae
Description: long non-coding RNA (ATRI_LNC002493)
Source: RNAcentral
AGAAUCCAUGAGGAGUUUUGUAUAGAAUAUUUAUGAAAAUAUUCGUAUUUGACAAAAGCCUAGUAAGAAAUGGCGCGAUGUAAAGUUCGAUCCACAUCAACUUCGAUCCUAUUGGGGUUUGCCCUGCCCUACGCAAAAUCAAGGAAUCGUACCUGGUGCUGCAUCCAAAAGAAAAUGGCAUAGUUAGAUUUUUGAGAGAGAAACAGUGAUAGUGAGAUCAAGACAGGAGAGAACUUGAUGAUUAAAGGUACAUUUAUUAAGUGAAAGCGCUUUUCGAAACUUUAAGCUUUCACAUGAGCCUACCAAAAGACUCGCUCUCACCACCUGAAUAGAUGGAUUGGCAGUUUCUCAUGAAAUUGGUUAAAGGCCGGAAAAAUGCUUUCCCAAAUGGUGUUCAAAUACCCAAAUGCCCACAAAAUAAAUAUGAGAAAGUGGCAACCAAGGGGAAGGAACUCUUUUAGAAAAUUCAUUUGUGCUAAAUAAACAUGUCCUAGAUCAGGAACAAUGAGUUUGGAGUCUGAAAGAGAGCUAUCAAAGAGAGAUAUCAGAAACUCAUUUUUUAAUAUGUUGGGUACGUGUGAAAAUACUUUUGUAAAAAUAUUUUCACAUGAAAAAAUUCCCUUAUGUAAUUAGGUGUAGAAGUAUUUUGGGAAAAUUAUUAAUAACCCCCCAUAAUAUACUAUUCACUCAAUUUACCCCCUGCUGACUUUUCUCUCUCAUAUUUUUCCCCUCAACAAACUAUCCCCGCAAAAACCCCCUCAACGCAAAAAAAAGUAAGAAAGGGACAAAAAGACUUUUUUGGUAUUUCCCCUUUUCCUUCCUUCUUACCCCGUAAAGUUACCCAAUAAUUUUUUUUAACAGAAGCUUCUCUCGCACCCUCACGGCCCGAGCUCAGCAAGGCUUUUCUUCCCACUUUUUCUCCCUCAUGGCCCGAGAUCCACUCCAUCUCUCACUUUCUCUCUGUAGCCUGAGCCCCCUCCUCUCACGCUCUCUCUCCCCGGCCAAAGCCCCCACCUCUCACGCUCUCUCUCCCUGGCCCAAGCCCCCUCAUCUCACACUCUCUCUCCCUUGCCCAAGCCCCCUCCUCUCACGCUCUCUCUCGUGGGUUGAAGCUUUCUCCCUCUCUCUCUACGAAGGAACGCCCAAGUUAAGGCCCGAGCUCUCUCCGUCUCUCAACGAAUGAUACCAUUGGGCUCUCAAAAUCUGUGUCCCAACCCAAACCUGAUAGCACUACUUCGAUUUUUACUUUACCCCAAAUCAGCCCCAUAUAAGGUAAUUUUUUUAAUAAAAUUGUUUGAAAUUUGUUGGCAUUGACAAUCUGUUGUAUUUGAUUUGGCAUUGAGUUACUUGAUUUGGCAUUGACAAUGAAUCUGUUGUAUUUGAUUUGGCAUAUACAAAAUGAAAACUAAGGACCCCCCCUAAAUUGUAUUUGAUUUGUGUUUUCAAUAUAUUGAGCUAACUAACAGAGAGUUGAUGUUAACUUAGUGAAUUUGUGGGAAUUUUGUGUGUUCAGUUGUUGUUUUCGUUGAUUAAGCCCAUUCUAGAUAAUUGGAAUAAGGCUCGAACAAUGAUGAUGAUGAUGAAUUGUUGUUGAUGUCAAUGAUGUUAUCAAAUGCGGGUCUUGUUGUUUUUCUUUUUCCUUUUUUUAAAUAAAACAAUGCAAAAAUUGUUGUUAUCUCAAGAUGAGUGUUGUGAAAUUAGACUUCAUGAAAUUGGGAUAAAAUUGAAACUAGUUCUGUGGAUUUAUGGAAAUUUAGGGUAUCUAACUAUCAUUAGUAAUAUUCUUCAUAAAAGCAUGUAUUAGCAUGCUGCUAUCAAGGAAUUGAGAUGCCAUUUGCGCUAUUUGGGAAAGGAGAGUAACUACCUUAUUGUGUCAUGAAACAUGGGAGUAGAGCCAACUUGGAAGCCAUGACCUAUUUUCGACAUGUAUCAACAAUUUUACACACAUACUGACCUAGAUCCUUUUGUAAUCUUCUUCAUGCUCAGUGACCAUUGAGUGCAUCAUUGAAGGAGAAUUCUAUCUUCUUUUUUGUUUUGAGCAGUCACUUGUAAAUUUUCAAAACAUGUAUGAAUUCAACCAACACAUAAUUGAGAUUUUGAGCUACUCAUCCUCAAAUUGUUUUUGAGUUACAUGUAAACUUCGAUCAAAUUGUUUCGAGCUAUUGUAUUUGAUUUGGCAUAGUGACCUCAAGAGUUUUGAUUAAACUCAAAUUGCGAAUCUAGUUUAUGGGUCAUUAGUUUUCAUUUUGUAUACAACUUCUCUUAAUUUUUAUGGUUUCCCUAUUAUUUAUUUUCUUGUUUUUUUAUUUUUACUGAAUUGUAAAAUAGAAGAGCAUUGGAUUCUCAAAGGGGUAAAGCCUUUGGCCUUGGGAAUAAAUAUGAUCGAGUUUGCUCUAAAAUAGCCACUGAUUGAAAGUAUGUGUUUAUAUCCACAAAGUCAUUAGUGUUGUAUUCAGAUAAUCGUUGGGUUUGUUUAUUUGUGGGGUGUAAAUUAUUACAAAUCUUGUGCAGAAGAAAAGAAAAUGAGUGAUAGAAGAUUGAUUUAUUGUAUUUGUGGUGGAGGACUCUAAUCAAAUAUCGAUGGGACUUUGGACUAUAUUGGUAGUGAUGCAUGUACAUUUAUGAUUGAAAGUAGAACUAGGUUAGAUGACCUGCGAAAAUACGUAGCUGAGUGUUUCUCGCUAGACAUACACCUGAUAUAAUUGAGGUAUUUUGUCUUGAAAAAUAAAAGAUUUAUUGUGAAUUUAUUCAUUGACGAUGAUAUCGAGAGGAUGUUGAAUGCACAUAAAGGCGAGAAUAAUCUCUUAGUUUAUGUAUUUGAUGGGAGUGAACAAAGGGUUGAAAGUACUUCACGUAACCCUAGGGCAAUCGAAGAGGUCAGACCCCCCCAAUCCUCUAAUGUUUUGGUAUCUAGUUCCAAAUAAAACAAUGCACCAAGGUUGCUUAGUUCAUGGGACGAUGCACUUACAGGUAUAGGCCAACAAUUUGAAUCUCUAGAUGACUUCCGAGAAGCCCUUAGUAAAUUUGCUAUAACACACCAUUUCACUUAUCGUCUUGUUAAAAUGAGGGGUAUCGCAUAAGGGCAAAAUGCAAGGGUGACGGAUGCAAAUAGGAGAUAUAUGCUUCGAAGUUUGGCAGGACGAAUGUCUUUAGUAUCAAAACAUGGAAAAAAGAACACUCAUGUAAUAUUGGGACAAGCAAUAAUGUAUAGAGAAGAGCAUCACAAAAAUUUAUUGCAUCAUUAAUCAAGGAUAAAUUAAGUGACACUGCACAGUACAAGGCUAAGGAAAUCAUGAAUGAUUUGUCUCGAGAAUAUGGGCUAGAAAUACCCUAUUGCAAAGCUUAACGAGGGAAAUAAAUGGCCAUCAAAGACAUAUAUGGUUCGCAAGAGGAGGCAUACAACCAGUUAGCCGCAUAUGUAAACCGAGUGAUGGAGACGAAUCUUGGUAGUUAUGCGACAGGACAAGUAUGACAAUAUGACAGAUUUCAACAAAUGUUCUUAAGCUUUUAUGGCUCAAUACACGGUUUCAAAAGUGGAUGUCGUCCACUGAUAUUUCUCAAUGGGGCAUCAUUGAAAGCACAAUACCUUGGAAUUUUACUUACUGCGAACUCACUCGAUGGGGGAGAACAAAUGUUUCCUGUUGCAUUCGCUAUUGUGGAUGCCGAAAGUAUCGACAACUGGUUGUGGUUUAUGAAAUCUCUAAAGAUUGCUAUUGGGACUGAUCGUGAAAUCACUUUUUUAUCUGAUAGACACCCUGACCUAGUUGAUAUUGUUUGUCAAGUUUUUGAAAAUGCCCAUCAUACCUUCUGUGAGCGUCAUUUAGCAGAGAAUUUCAAGAAGGAAGUAAAAGACAUACCUAAUGAUAUUAAGAAGGCAGUUGUAAAAUACUUUGUUGGAGCAUGUACACAAGAGUAUUUUGACAAUAUGAGUGAAAUUAGGUCAAUUUUUUAGGUCGCAUUCAAGUGGUUCAUGAAAGUAUCGCCAGACCGUUGGCCACAUCACUCUUUAGCGAUAAACGAUAUAAUCAAGUAACAACCAAUGUGGUAUAACAAGUAGAUUCAAUAAGCACGUGAUAUGCCAAUUCUCUAGUGCGUUGACUUGAUUAGAAGAUAAAUUAUGAAACUAAUGACCACUCAGAGCUUGGAAGUUGAAUCCUGGACCACAACACAAACUCCUCACGUGCAAAAGAAACUGAUAAAGAUCAUAAAUUAAUCCCUUUCCAUUAGGGUCAUUGUGUCAAGUGAAGCAAUAUUUGAAGCAAGGGGUGAUCGUAUGAAUUAUAAGGUAAAUAUAAUUGAACGAGAAUGUAAAUGCCGUGGUUGGCAAAUUACGGGUUUGCCCUGCAAACAUGCUUGUAAAGCCCUUCAAUGGAUUAAUAGGGAUCCCGUCGACUAUUGUGAAGGCUAUUUCACAAUUGCAAAGUUUCGUGAAACAUAUUCUGAACCUAUCAUGCCAGUUACCUUGAUCGAUCUAUCUGGACGUGCGUAUGCACAACUUCCUGAGGAUGGAAUAAGAGUACUUUUACCUCACUCCAGACGACCCCCUGACCGACCUAAAAAGAAGCGCAUCGAGUCACAGGAAGUACCAGUGCGAUCUAUUCACUGUAGUAGGUGCAAAAGAACUGGUCACAAUAGGGCGACAUGUAAAACACCCACUUGAAGGCAUUUUUUUAGUUAUCUUCUUUGUUCAGUCUUUUUAAGUUGUAGCACCUACUUGUGGGAAUUUUUGUCAGUACAUAUAUUGGAUAUGCCACUUUUCUCUCUCUUUUUUAGUUAUCUUCUCUGUUCUAUCAGUACAUAUAUUGGGUAUGCCACUUUUCUAUCUCUUUUAUAUUGGAUAUGCUAAUGUUCUAUCCGUUUUUUUAUUGGAUUGGAUAUGCCACUGUUCUAUCUGUUUUAUUGGAUUGGAUAUGCCAUUGUUCUAUCUAUUUUAUUAUUAGAUUGGAUAUGUCAUUGUUCUAUCUCUUUUCUUAUUGGAUAUGCUACUUGUGGUUAACUUUUUAUGCCAAUUAUGAUAAUAUAAUUAGCAAUGCAAGACCCGGAACAACUAAGAGGCAUAGGGGAGCCAUCCACUUAACCCCCAAAUAUGGACUUUCUAUGCACUUUAACCUGGUCUAACUUUUCCUAACAUAUUUUUCCCCAAAACCAACUAUUUUAACUAAUACCCCCAAUACAAAAAGUUCAUUUUUUGACCAAAAUACCCUUCACGUAUAUAACAAAUCAUUUUUAGAUCCCAAUAAAAGGAAACGCUGGACAACACUUGUACAACUCCAUACUGCUCACUUCAAAACGUCAGAUCGGCACUUUAAAAAGCUGGACUGCCCCUUCAAAAUGCCGUACCACCACUUCAAAACGUCAGACUGUCCAUUUCUCCAAUAGCACAAUCCCUGAACAGCCAUAAUGAAACGGCAGAUUGCUCAUUUCAGCAAAAUAAGCGCUAGACCGCCUCUUCCAAAUGCCAGACCGCCCUCUCUAGUAAAAAUGAUUUGUUAUGUAAGGAAAGGGUAUUUUCGUAAAAAAAUGAACUUUUUGUAUUGGGAGUAUUUGCUAAGAAAUAUAGUUUUUGUAGGGGAGGGGGGGGAGGGGGAAGAGUUGCUAGGAAAAGUUAGGUUGGAGGUAAAGUGCCUAGAAAGUCUAUAUUUUGGGCUUUUAAAUAAUUUUUCCAAGAAACUUUAUCUCAAAUUUUAAAUUUUAUAAAGAGAAAGUACCUAAAAAUUAUUAGAAAGAUAAACUAUAUCAAAUUUUAUAGUGAAAAACUACUUGGAAAAUUUUUGGAUGGAGAAAUUAUCUCAAAAUUUUUAGAGAAAAAUAUUAUCUCAAAUUAAUUUAAAAAUGACAUUAUAAUGAAAAAUACAAUAAAAAGUAUUUAAAUGUUUUUAAGACAUUGAAUUUUGUCUUGCAGACACCCAUACCGGCUUUUUCUUACGGACUACCAAAUAACAAGAAUAGUCCACAAGAUUUCCUAGAUUUGGAUAGAAUUUUAUCUAGUGUACAAGGACUUGACCGAGUCCACUUAGACUCUACCGAGUCACUCAGCCUCGCCCUUGUCAAGUACCCCACGAGUUGCAUGUACAAUUGGGGCUUACAAAAAUAAAAUAAAAAAUAAAAAUCGUAAAUUAAUUGUAAAAACUUUUCUCUCUCUAACCCCUUUUCAUUCCUUUAUGUCUCCUCCCCCUCCCUCUCUCUCUUGAUGUGUCUCUUCCCCUCCAUCUUUCUCCAUCUCUUUCUAAUUUCCAGCAUACAAUCCACAAGUUUAGCAUCUCUUCUAUAGCCCCAAACUUCUUCAAUAUACACAAUUUUUGUUGUGAAUCUAUACCACGCUUUUCUCUCUCCUUAGUUGGGCGUCUCUCUCUAGUUGAGGAGGCAUAUAAGGUGAAGACCCAUGAUGAAUGCUGAGAAAGGGAGAGGGCAUGGGAGUGACAUGGAGAGCGAGAGUAGGAUAUAAGAGAGAGAGAAUUAUGGAGAGAUGAGGAGGGGAUAUAUGGCCCAAGGGGUGGGGCAAAAGGAGGGGGGGGGGCUGCAUUGCCUAAUGGGGAAGGAGGGCUACAUGGCCUACUGGGGGGAGAGAGGGGGAGGAGAGGGAUUGCAAGAUCCAUGGGAGGCCACAUGCUUGGAAAUGUGGCCCAAAAGGGGUCACAUGCCUAGGCACGUGACCAGAACUUCCCUAGCCCAUCUCUCAUCCUUUCUUUCUUUUUUUUCCUGGAAAUAGUGUUCUACUUGAGCGAGUAACUCAGCUCGAGUCAAGGCCGAGUCCUUGGCCCAUGCUGAGGUUCGAAAAAUUGAAUUUAUCUAUGGAAAAACUUUACUUAUUCAACAUCAAACCUAUACCAUCAUUUUGCAUAUUGAAUAAUCUUUCGAAUGAUCUAAAGAUCACAUGAAUCUUAUAAAUCCUUCAAAACUGACGACCAUUUUAUUGCACACGACCAGUGUGAGAAAUCACGUUAGCUAGGCUUGGCACGUCUUGUAGUGUCGUGCAUGGCCCAAGAUGCACUGUAUACAUGCCAAAUUAUUUUGUACAAGUAUAAAAUUGCAUAGACACAUUAAAAAUCACUUAGAAUGUUGUAAAUGAGCUUUAUAAUGUUGCAAGACAUAAUUUUAAUAUGUUAGUGGUCAGGUUUUGGUUGUUGAUUGUGUUGGACUAGGGUGGUCUACCUUUAAUGGGUCGGUGGAUCCCCAUGGUAUUACUUUAUUCGUUACGGGUUGACAAAAGAGGGGAUUUUUUUUAUUGAAAUUGUUGUGUAAAAUGCUAUUCAAAUAGAUAUGGAUAGCUACUUGUAGUUAUUUGAAUAAACAAUGUGGGGAGAAUAAGUGGGACCAGGUUGUUGUAGAGAUAGAAAGGUUGGUUUUUUGGUGAAUUGCACGUAGCUCUUUUGAGACCCUCUCACCUCUCUCUUAGAAGCUCCUAUUGCACCCCCACGUCCAUUUUCUCUCUUGCAUUUUCUCUCUUGCCCAUCCAACCCUACGUAUCCCCUUCUAGCGAAGCGAGUAUUCUCGAGCCAUCCAUUAAAUAGCUCUACUUUGCAUUGUGAACUUUCCUCCUGGUUCUUAUAGUCAAAAGAGGGUGACCUAAAGGGAUAGGAUCCAACUCUUGAUACUCAUAAAGGGGUAAAUCAAUUUAAAAGGGAUAUCAGAUCCGCAGAAGUUGUGUACCUCUAUUUUUGAGUUUUUAUUGUAGCUUUCGCUACAAUAGGCUGCCUAGGGUGUCCAGCAUUGGAGGUUCGCUCUCAUAUUUGAUUGUUUUUAAAGUGGAUUCAUAGAGUUUCGCUCACAAAUCUGAUUAUUGUGAUGCAGGUUCACUCUCGCAGCGAGGCACAAGACGGCACUUCUGACCGUUGUGCCAAGCACCUUCAGAUGCAAAUGGAGACGAUCAAUGGUAGAUCAAGGACUUCGUCAAAUUACAGUCCAAGAGAGAAACUAGUCUAAGAACCGCUCUAUCACGGACCACCUGCAGUUGCUGGCUUAUCGAGCAGAAAAACAGAAAAUCCUCAAAGAAGAAGUUUUGAAAAUUUUAGUGCAAAGAGGGCAAGAGAUUUUAAAAAUGCUUUCGAAAAAGAACUAAAACUAAACUAAACUGAUCAUGCAAAUCAAAUAAAACAUAAAGAAAGAAACAGACUUACUUGGAAACCAGGCCCACAGGCCCGGCAGCUAAAAUCAGUGGACCUGGUUCAGAAAUCGUGCGACUAACUUUCUUAUGUUCCUUAGAGUUUGCCGGACAGGAGUGACUAGUUUCAAAGUUGAGUUUGAAUAUUCGACAGUAUAGGUCUAGGUCAUAGGAAGUUAUUCUAGGGGUGGGCCUCUAAGGUGUAUGGUGAUGGUAUCAUAGUUUGGAAGCCAUAGGAAUUGGUGUACGGUUAGGUUGGGCCGACUGGAGUCCUGCAAUGGAUUCAUGGUCUGUGGGGGCUUAGAAAUUAGGAUUAAGAUACUUACGGUUUCUAAGGGUCUUAGGACUAAGUCUAUGGUGCAGCAGGGCUUCGCCUAGAAUCUAUGGCUUAGGGGUCCUGGAAAUCGAUGGUGGGGUCCCUACUUAUAUAGAAGUACCCUGGUAACUGCUCUAAAAAUUGUGGCAAAAUUAGGACCAUUGGUCAUCCGCGACAAAGGUUUUGCCACUAGCGUUAAAGGCUUUGAUUGCAAACAACCGUGGGCCCCACAGUCACUUGUCCUCUUGUGUCCAUUGGAGCAUUUUUAGGACGUCGGUGUGAGUGUUUGAGGUCGUCUUAGUGGGAUAACUUGCAUAGGUUUAGGUUAGAUUAGGUAAUUUUUAAGUGGCUUAAGGCUUCAUUAGGUAAGUUUAGUCCUGUUUUAUAAGGUUUUAAGAGAGUAUUAGCCUAAAUUAGGAGGUUGAAGGAGGGCUUAAGUCAUUUAAAAAAGGUUGUAAGUAAACUAGAGUUCCGUACAGUUCCAACUAAGGUAAGAUCUCCUCAAAGGGAAGAAAUUUGAUGGCAAGAACUACAACAUAUGGCAUCAUAAGAUUUACUACUUACUUGAGGAUUAAGUGUGCUUGAACACUAGACCACUAGCACGACUCUCCCAAGGGAUCUCUAUUCAGGUACAUUAUGAGCUCAAAAGAGAUCAUUGUGUACACUUCAUAUUCAUAACGAUGUGUAGCGUGCAAAAAGACCUG